UUUUGCGUUAGUGUCUCUCAUCUUUUGAUCUCAGUUCCUCCAGUGAUCGUAGUAUAAAAACCCUGAGAUGAUCUGAGAGACACUCAACAUUGACUUAAAGGAGCUCAGCUUCAACAGCUCCUGUGACCUCAGGUCUUUGAAAACAACUUUGCAGACUCUUUCAGCUGCUGAGAGGAGGUCUGUUGAAGCUCGCAGGGAAUCUCAUAUUGUAAGAAGGCAGAUAAAAGAGAGACGCCAUGGAUUUUCUGAAAUUCGUGGGAGGCGUGGCACUGGGUGUGUCCGAGUGCGCGGUGGGCGUGACCAGAGCCGUGGUGGACGUUCCUCUGGGGAUAGUGAAAGGAGCGGUGUACAGCACCGUAGAGGCCGGCAGUAAAAUGAGCAGCGUGGGCUCCGCCGCUGAACUUAUUGGUGCCACUGCAGUUCUGCUGGUGUCCCCGGUGACCGGCGCUGUGAGCGGAGGAACCAAAGAGAUCGUCAAGGCGCCAGAAAAAGUUGUGCAUGGUAUUGUUAAUGGCGUGAAAAGAGUGUUUGAUGAUUGAGCAUGAAACAUAGACCUCAUCUAAAAGUGUAAGUU
This is a long non-coding RNA of Cyprinus carpio (common carp), 574 nucleotides long. RefSeq lists it as uncharacterized. The transcript is spliced from 3 exons. NCBI's taxonomy places the organism in Eukaryota, Metazoa, Chordata, Actinopteri, Cypriniformes, Cyprinidae. The record is from RefSeq and is a predicted model, not a curated record.